GUUUAACUAAAAAUGGCUGCCCCCAUCAACUUGUGCCUUGUAUGGGCAAUCUUUUUCUUCUGCAAUUGCAAUUCUUUGCCAUCUUUCCCAUCCAUCCUCAUCUUUGGCGAUUCGCUGGUGGACACUGGCAACAACAACUACAUCAAGACAAUUCUCAAGGCUAAAUAUCUCCCCUAUGGUCAAGAUUAUCCAGGCAAUCUUCCUACUGGAAGGUUUUCCAAUGGGAAACUCAUUCCUGACAUUUUGGCUUCUGCUCUUGGGAUCAAAGAUUCUGUUCCACCAUUCUUGGAUCCAACACUUUCAGAGCAUGACCUCAUUACUGGUGUUAAUUUCGCAUCAGCUGGUGCUGGAUUUGAUGAUUUAACAACUACUCUGUCCAACGCUAUCCAAGUUUCAAAGCAAAUUGAAUUGUUUAAGGUGUAUGUAGAGAAGCUUAAGGGAAUUGUUGGAGAAGGAAAAGCCAAGGAGAUCAUUAAUGGUGCUUUGGUGAUUCUAAAUGCUGGAACAAAUGACUGGCUUCUUAACUACUAUGACAUCCCUACAAGAAAGCUGCAGUUCAAUGCAACUGGGUACCGAGAUUUUCUUUUGAACGAUAAGCUUCAAAUCUUUAUUACGGAAUUGUAUGAACUUGGUUGCCGUCGGAUGGUUGUAAGUGGGCUUCCUCCAAUUGGCGUGAUACCUUUUCAAAUGAAGACUGUAAAACUUGAGAACCCAUUAGCAGGGGAAAGCUGGUUGGAGGAUCAGAAUAGAGAUUCCGGAGUUUACAAUGAAGAGCUUGUCAAGCUAUUAACUCGAUUACAGGCGACUCUUCCUGGUACCAAACUUGUCUAUAACGACUUGUAUGAACCAGUAAUGGACAUGAUUACUCAACCCGAUAAGUAUGGUUAUGUGGAAACGAAGAAGGGGUGCUGUAAAAGUACGAUAUUGCUGUGCCAUCCGCUUGCCUCAACAUGUAAAAGCCCUUCUAAGUUCCUGUUUUGGGAUAUGAUUCACCCAACUUUUACAUCCAACCAAUACCUUGUUAAAUAUAUAUUGAAGAAUGUUAUUCCCAAGUUCUUGUAGAAUUAAUCACAGCCAUGCCUGAGGCUGACGGUUCUAUCAAUAAAUAUUUUAUUAAUAAUUUGUUUAUUCAAACAACGUAACUUGCUGCAGCAUAUGCCUUAAUUGUAUCGUAUAUUAUUAAAUUAUGUCCAAAUUAAAAUUUG
This 1205-nucleotide unclassified non-coding RNA is filed under the name Hevea brasiliensis (rubber tree). The record is from RNAcentral. Lineage: Eukaryota; Viridiplantae; Streptophyta; Magnoliopsida; Malpighiales; Euphorbiaceae.